UAACUUUGUCUUGUUUGAAGGUUCUUCUAAAGGAGUUUUAAUUUGGGUAAUGAUAAGAUUUGCCGGAAGUGAUUGUAAACAUCUUUCUUCUAUUACAAAAUUCCAUAAAUCAUAGGUUCCAAAAUACGAUUUUCUUUUGACCGCCCAAACCUGAUAAUUUUCGUCGGUGAAAGUUUGUGGGGCAUUGAAUGAGACUGCUGCUUGCCAUGUUUGAAAAUGAGUUUAAAAAUUGAUAUUGGUUAAAAAUAAUUUGAAAAUGAUUUUUUGGAAGAACUCACAGAUCCCGUAAGAUCAAUGAGGCUCUGAUACCACUGUUAGUUCGAUUAAAAGUAUUUUGAAAAUGUCUAUCAAUAAUUUUAUUAAGCAUAAAAUGGCUUUAAAUAGCCAAUUUAAGAACAGAAUCUGCAAAAAAUCAGGAGAAUAAAUAUUCAAAUU
This 435-nucleotide long non-coding RNA is filed under the name Nicotiana benthamiana. RNAcentral's name for it is "long non-coding RNA (NBEN_LNC002225)". The record is from RNAcentral. Lineage: Eukaryota; Viridiplantae; Streptophyta; Magnoliopsida; Solanales; Solanaceae.